Molecule: ribosomal RNA, 484 nt
Filed under: uncultured bacterium
Lineage: Bacteria
Description: partial 16S ribosomal RNA
Rfam family: Bacterial small subunit ribosomal RNA
Source: RNAcentral
AUUGAACGCUGGCGGCAUGCUUUACACAUGCAAGUCGAACGGCAGCGCGGGCUUCGGCCUGGCGGCGAGUGGCGAACGGGUGAGUAAUACAUCGGAACGUGCCCAGUAGUGGGGGAUAGAUCGGAGAAAGCCGGAUUUAUACCGCAUAAGACCUGAGGGAGAAAGGGGGGGCUCUUCGGACCUCGCGCUAUUGGAGCGGCCGAUGGCAGAUUAGAUAGUUGGUGGGGUAAAGGCCUACCAAGGCGACGAUCUGUAGUUGGUCUGAGAGGACGAUCCGCCAAACUGGGACGGAGGCACGGCCCAGACCCCUACGGGAGGCAGCAGUGGGGGAUUUUGGACAAUGGGCGGAAGCCUGAUCCAGCCAUGCCGCGUGGAGGAUGAAGGCCUUCGGGUUGUAAACUGCUUUUGGACGGAACGAAAAGGCUCUUUCCAAUAACGAGGGGUCAUGACGGUACCCCACGAAUAAGCACCGGGCAACUACGUG